RNAcentral lists this transfer RNA (83 nucleotides) under Candidatus Woesearchaeota archaeon. RNAcentral's name for it is "tRNA-Ser". It matches the Rfam family "tRNA". From Rfam's summary of the family: Transfer RNA (tRNA) molecules are approximately 80 nucleotides in length. Their secondary structure includes four short double-helical elements and three loops (D, anti-codon, and T loops). The record is from RNAcentral. Lineage: Archaea; Nanobdellati; Candidatus Woesearchaeota.
GCUGAGGUCGCAUAGUCUGGUAUUGCGCCGGAUUGCUAAUCCGGUUCCUUCGGGAAGCGUGGGUUCAAAUCCCGCUCUCAGCG